AUACGAAGGGGGCUAGCGUUGCUCGGAUUUACUGGGCGUAAAGGGCGCGUAGGCGGACAGUUAAGUUAGGGGUGAAAUCCCGGGGCUCAACCUCGGAACUGCCUUUAAAACUGGCUGUCUUGAGUACGGGAGAGGUGUGUGGAACUCCGAGUGUAGAGGUGAAAUUCGUAGGUAUUCGGAAGAACACCAGUGGCGAAGGCGACACACUGGCCCGUUACUGACGCUGAGGCGCGAAAGCGUGGGGAGCAAACAGGAUUAGAUACCCUGGUAGUCCACGCCGUAAACGAUGAUGACUAGUUGUCGGCAUGCAUGCAUGUCGGUGACGCAGCUAACGCAUUAAGUCAUCCGCCUGGGGAGUACGGUCGCAAGAUUAAA
This 375-nucleotide ribosomal RNA is filed under the name uncultured bacterium. RNAcentral's name for it is "bacterial SSU rRNA". It matches the Rfam family "Bacterial small subunit ribosomal RNA", at positions 523 to 898 of the family's 1533-position model. The record is from RNAcentral.